RNAcentral lists this unclassified non-coding RNA (200 nucleotides) under soil metagenome. Its description in RNAcentral is "partial contains internal transcribed spacer 2 and large subunit ribosomal RNA". The record is from RNAcentral.
GAUCAGCUCUCUUUAAAUACAUUAGCUUGGAAUGUAUAAGCCAUUUUAGCUUAAGCUGAUAUGAAUACUAUGUAUUAAAUGCUUUUGCUUGAAGUGUUGCUUGUCUGAGCUUAUAACUGUCUCCAAUGUUGAGACUGUCUUUGACAUUUUAAAAUCUUGAUCAUGACCUCAAAUCAGGUAGGACUACCCGCUGAACUUAA